RNAcentral lists this non-coding RNA (84 nucleotides) under Paenibacillus sp. RNAcentral describes it as "c-di-GMP-II sequence". It matches the Rfam family "Cyclic di-GMP-II riboswitch aptamer". Lineage: Bacteria; Bacillati; Bacillota; Bacilli; Caryophanales; Paenibacillaceae. The record is from RNAcentral.
AAAAAGAAUGUGAGCGAUGAUAUUGAAUCUUUAACUGGGCACUUGGAUUCAAAGGAGCGAGUAGUGCAACCGAACAUCCUAAUC